CCUUAGACCAAUAUGAAUUAUUCCAAUAAUUUCAAAAGUUUUGGAAAAGUUUAUUCAACCAAAAAUGUAUAAUUUUUUUAUUACAAAUAACAUAAUUCUGAAGGGUCAGUCUGGCUUCUGAAAGCAGCACAGAACAACAUCCGUCUUGUUAAUAGUUACUUAAGAAAUAAUUGAGGCUUUUAGAUGAGAGUGAGACUACAGCACUCGUAUUGCUUGACUUCUCUAAGGCUUGCGAUAUAUUGGGUCUUAUCUUUCUCAAGGAAGUAGCUGGUGGUCCUAGAAAAGUUUUGCAAAAUGAGCUAGGGACCAAAAAGUAGUAUUAAGUUUGCUAAUGAUGUGUGCCAAAUUUCAAAUUUUUAUAUAAACGCAUUCAAAAGAUAAAAGGGGAGGGGGAAAUUAAUUAUUAUAAUUAUACUGUAUAAGUAUUC
Molecule: long non-coding RNA, 428 nt
Organism: Anthonomus grandis grandis
Lineage: Eukaryota; Metazoa; Arthropoda; Insecta; Coleoptera; Curculionidae
Exons: 2
Source: RefSeq, a predicted model, not a curated record